RNAcentral lists this long non-coding RNA (221 nucleotides) under Mustela putorius furo (domestic ferret). Its description in RNAcentral is "lncRNA (ENSMPUG00000030104.1)". Lineage: Eukaryota; Metazoa; Chordata; Mammalia; Carnivora; Mustelidae. The record is from RNAcentral.
UGAAAACGUCUGGACAAUUGCAACGAGUCUAUUGCUCCCACAUUCAUCAUCGGAGCAGAGGUUUCUGCAGAGGUGUUGCCUCUGUUCCCACUGGCCCAUCAAGAGACUCCUCUCUGCUGUCAACUUGUCCCUGAUAAUGGUCAUUCCAGAUAACCCUUGAUGUAAGCAUCCUUUACUUUUGGUGGCCUUCCUGACUCUGGCCUGGGCUGGGAUCUCACAGC